UGGGGAAUUUUGGACAAUGGGCGAAAGCCUGAUCCAGCAAUGCCGCGUGUGUGAAGAAGGCCUUCGGGUUGUAAAGCACUUUUGUCCGGAAAGAAAUCCUCUGGGUUAAUACCUCGGGGGGAUGACGGUACCGGAAGAAUAAGCACCGGCUAACUACGUGCCAGCAGCCGCGGUAAUACGUAGGGUGCAAGCGUUAAUCGGAAUUACUGGGCGUAAAGCGUGCGCAGGCGGUUUUGUAAGACGGAUGUGAAAUCCCCGGGCUUAACCUGGGAACUGCAUUCGUGACUGCAAGGCUAGAGUAUGGCAGAGGGGGGUUAGAAUUCCACGUGUAGCAGUGAAAUGCGUAGAGAUGUGGAGGAAUACCGAUGGCGAAGGCAGCCCCCUGGGCCAAUACUGACGCUCAUGCACGAAAGCGUGGGGAGCAAACAGGAUUAGAUACCCUGGUAGUCCACGCCCUAAACGAUGUCAACUAGUUGUUGGGGAUUCAUUUCCUUAGUAACGUAGCUAACGCGUGAAGUUGACCGCCUGGGGGAGUACGGUCGCAAGAUUAAAACUCAAAUGAAUUGACGGGGUCAUAGCUGUUUCCU
This 587-nucleotide ribosomal RNA is filed under the name uncultured bacterium. RNAcentral's name for it is "partial 16S ribosomal RNA". It matches the Rfam family "Bacterial small subunit ribosomal RNA", at positions 355 to 1375 of the family's 1533-position model. The record is from RNAcentral.